This is a long non-coding RNA of Panicum virgatum (switchgrass), 624 nucleotides long. RefSeq lists it as uncharacterized. NCBI's taxonomy places the organism in Eukaryota, Viridiplantae, Streptophyta, Magnoliopsida, Poales, Poaceae. The record is from RefSeq and is a predicted model, not a curated record. The transcript is spliced from 2 exons.
GGCACGUUUGCGCCGCCCCUCGCUCGCGGCCUCGCGCCGUCGCGCGCAAGCGCGGCUGCGCGGCCUGCACCCCUGCGACGGUGCUGCUAGGCAGGGUGCUGGCGUGCUCCUGCUGGCUGCUGCCGUGUUGGACUGAAUCGAGCCGAGGAGGUGCUUGUGCUGCAUAGCUGCAGCCUGCAGUGGCCAGGGGCCACGGCCAGCGCCCAGCACACCAGGUAUGAAUUAAUUUCUUUAUUCAAUUUCUAUUUAUUUCUAUGAUUCAGCCAUAUCCAUUAUAAAGACAGAUUUGCCUAGUAAAAUGGGUGAUGAAUGGCUGAAUGACUUGAUGAUUUGCUAUAAUGAGAAGGAGAUAUUUAGAAAGAUUGGUAAUGAAAAGAUCAAAAAGAGAUUUGAAGAGAUGAAAAAUCGUCGUAUAUUAUUGCCUAAAAAAUUGAUGAUUGCUUCUUCGGAUGAAUAAUGUGUACUGGUCACCGUCCCGCCCGGCGUCUAUUAGUUUCGUAACUUGGUUUUUUGGUAUGGAUAAACCACAUUCUUUAUUUUUCAUGAUGUAUUUUGUGAUUUUCAUUAUCCAUCGAUGUUUUAAUAUAAGACUACUUCAAACUAUUAUAUUUGUCUUUGUUGAGA